Molecule: transfer RNA, 75 nt
Filed under: Stachybotrys chartarum IBT 7711
Lineage: Eukaryota; Fungi; Ascomycota; Sordariomycetes; Hypocreales; Stachybotryaceae
Also listed under: 2 other names
Description: tRNA-Met (CAT) (tRNA-Met-CAT-2-1)
Rfam family: tRNA
About the family: Transfer RNA (tRNA) molecules are approximately 80 nucleotides in length.
Source: RNAcentral
GUCUUGGUGGCUCAGUUGGUUUAGAGCGUUGGUCUCAUAAUCCAAAGGUCGUGAGUUCGAGUCUCACCCAGGACA